Molecule: long non-coding RNA, 428 nt
Filed under: Trifolium pratense (red clover)
Lineage: Eukaryota; Viridiplantae; Streptophyta; Magnoliopsida; Fabales; Fabaceae
Description: long non-coding RNA (TPRA_LNC011782)
Source: RNAcentral
UAUAUCAUAAAAUAGUGGUACUUCUUAUUAUCCAAUUUUACUUUGAUAAUAUAAGUGGUACAAUAUAUAAAGAUAUAGAUGAGCAAAAUAUUACUUAAGAAAAUGUAUUAAUCUUAGUAUAGCCUAGAUGCUUUUCUUUUACAUUUUGCCUGAAUUACAAUACACACAUUCAAUGGGUUUGGUUUUCAUGGAGGUCCUUCACACCCUCCAUUUUAUUCUAUCUCCUCCAUCAAGUCUACUUUUCUGUGUCACUUCCACUUUCAUUUUGUUCGCCUCCACUUUGUGCACCUACUUCACCACCAUAACCUUGUGAGCCCUCUCCAACUUUUUUGCUUCUUCGUUUUUUAAUUUUUCUAAAGCCAUUCCAGGUGGUCCAAGGUUUUCGUAUAUCGUACACAACUUUUAUUUUGAAGUCUUUUAUUGCACCA